RNAcentral lists this ribosomal RNA (429 nucleotides) under Bacteroidota bacterium. Its description in RNAcentral is "Bacteroidetes bacterium partial 16S ribosomal RNA". It matches the Rfam family "Bacterial small subunit ribosomal RNA", at positions 355 to 776 of the family's 1533-position model. The record is from RNAcentral. Lineage: Bacteria; Pseudomonadati; Bacteroidota.
UAGGGAAUCUUCGGCAAUGGGGGGAACCCUGACCGAGCAACGCCGCGUGAGUGAAGAAGGUUUUCGGAUCGUAAAGCUCUGUUGUUAAGGAAGAACGAGUGUGAGAAUGGAAAGUUCAUACUGUGACGGUACUUAACCAGAAAGGGACGGCUAACUACGUGCCAGCAGCCGCGGUAAUACGUAGGUCCCGAGCGUUGUCCGGAUUUAUUGGGCGUAAAGCGAGCGCAGGCGGUUAGAUAAGUCUGAAGUUAAAGGCAGUGGCUCAACCAUUGUAGGCUUUGGAAACUGUUUAACUUGAGUGCAGAAGGGGAGAGUGGAAUUUCAUGUGUAGCGGUGAAAUGCGUAGAUAUAUGGAGGAACACCGGUGGCGAAAGCGGCUCUCUGGUCUGUAACUGACGCUGAGGCUCGAAAGCGUGGGGAGCGAACAGG